AUGUCCGGGAACUGCAAUUGCCUUCUCCCGUUGAUUUUGAGUGUCUUGUUGCUAAAAUGUGGAUUGUGUGCAGCACAACCAAUCAAACAGCUGGUUCGUGAAAAUUCUGGCAACUUGGAGCUUUCAUUUUACUCGGAUUGCCGCAUUGGACAUGCAGGCUGUAAACCUAAAUCAAACUGUCUAAAUGAUCACAAAAUGUACGUAAAGGAGCAAUUGGAUCUGAUCCGCUCCACAAUACAGAACGAUGGGUGCAAGCGGUUUAAGUCCCUGGCCGAGAGAGACGACCCGAUAUUCAUGCUGGCCGAUGCCACCUGCAAUAGCGUUUGCGCCACCGUGGCUGAUCUCCACAAGGAGAGGCACCCGAACAUCCCUAGGGUUACCGUCGCGGGCGAGUGUAGACGCUCCCUCACCUUGAGGCUCAAGUGCAUGUGCAAAUUUUACCAGGGACUAUUUACGUGGCAUAGUUUACGCAAGACGGUCAGACAUUUCAUAGACGAUAUCGUUGAUGUUGACAGCUGA
Molecule: long non-coding RNA, 519 nt
Filed under: Bemisia tabaci
Lineage: Eukaryota; Metazoa; Arthropoda; Insecta; Hemiptera; Aleyrodidae
Description: lncRNA ENSSSA1UGG001265
Source: RNAcentral